GGGAAUGUGGCUUAGUGGUAGAGUGUUUGCCUAACGUGCAUGAAGCCCUGGGUUCAAUUCCUCAGUACCA
Molecule: non-coding RNA, 70 nt
Organism: Dipodomys ordii (Ord's kangaroo rat)
Lineage: Eukaryota; Metazoa; Chordata; Mammalia; Rodentia; Heteromyidae
Source: Rfam